CACUCAACCAUCCAAAGGACAAGAAGGACAAGACAAAAACUCUAUUUUAUUCGGAACACAACUUAACACAUCAGAAAAGGAAAGCCUAAACAUGAAUAUGCCAUAGAAGACGUCACUUAUUGAGAAUAACAUUGCACCAAACCACAUGGAGAAUCUACGAAACAACACUGGUUUAAGACGACAUUCAGAAAAUAGCAUCCGUUUUUCAAGCAAUUCCUAAAACAACACUCUAUUCGUAUCUUGCAUUCUUUUAUUGCCUCACACCAUAUGCAAAUCGAUCAAAUUACCGUCAUUCGUUUCGGAGUCCUCUUUCUUUUAAUCUCUUCUGUCCAUAAGAAAAACAUAAACGGAUAAAAUAUCCAAUUUUAUAUUGUUAAACAUACAAAUAGACACAUGUUUUUUAGCAAGGAAGAAGUUUAGAUUUAACCGGCUAUACUUCCUUCGCUUUUUUUAUUUGAUGUGGUUGUUCUUUUUUUUUUCAAGAACUUCAAUUAGCUCGAUCGGCAGUUUUUACUUUGACGAGAAUUUAUCUUAAUCUAGACUCGAUAUGUACUGUUCAAAUGUGCAGAGCAAUGAGUUGGUUUUGGAUUAGCUUGUGCAAUGCGCACGGUCCCAUUGCCACCGAGUACGCACGCGGCGCGGCUUGAUCAACGAAGAGCAAGAAGAGGAAUUAAUAAAUGCAACGUAGCUAAACGACGAGCGGGGGGAGGAGAAGAUCUGAUGCGUGGACGUGGGUGCAGAUCUGCAGGAACGACCUUAACCACCGGCGCCAUGAAUGAACUCGCGAUCAUUGCCGAAGCUUCGUCAUCAAUAGCUCCCGGACCCGCACAAAACCCGGGCAGUGACCACAUGGCAAUGGCAAUGGGAAUGGGAUUGGCAUGGGGACGAAACCAAUCAAGCAUCCCGGUGGGCGCACGCAUCCGUCCCGCCGCCGCGCCCGGCCGGGACCGCGGCCCGGAUCGAAUCAGGUGGUGUGGUGGAGGAGGAGGCGGCGGCGGCGGAGGGCUGCUUGUUUGGACCCGCUCCGCUGGCUGCGGGAUGGAUACACCGUCCGAGACGAAGGGAGGACG
This 1070-nucleotide unclassified non-coding RNA is filed under the name Zea mays. RNAcentral describes it as "misc RNA Zm00001eb033980". Lineage: Eukaryota; Viridiplantae; Streptophyta; Magnoliopsida; Poales; Poaceae. The record is from RNAcentral.